CAUUCAACCCUCUUGCCUUUAUGCUGCCAACAUCUUUUGUUUCCCUGAAUGGGUUGCCUUCUGCAGAAUGAACCAUUUCCCAACAUUACUCCACAAGUAUUGGGAAAAAGUUCCUUGACAGGAUUAUUUGAAGAUCCACAUUGCCAGGUACUAUAUGCAUUAUGUUUAGAUGAGGCAUUGUUGUUUACGCUGUCAGCAAAAGAAUUGAAUACUGAACUGGGGGCAGACAUACGGAUUUUUUCUUCUGCUGCUGGCUCUGAACUGUCUACCCCAGACAAGUUACAUUCAACCCUCUGGCCUUUAUGCUGCCAGCAUCUUUUGUUUCCCAGAAUGGGUUGCCUUCUGCAGAAUGAACCAUUUCCCAACAUUACUCCACAAGUAUUGGGAAAAUGUUCCUUGACAGGAUUAUUUGAAGAUCCACAUUGCCAGGUACUAUCUGCAUUAUGUUUAGAUGAGGCAUUGUUGUUUACGCUGUCAGCAAAAGAAUUGAAUACCGAACUGGGGGCAGACAUACGGAUUUUUUCUUCUGCUGCUGGCUCUGAACUGUCUACCCCAGACAAGUUACAUUCAACCCUCUGGCCUUUAUGCUGCCAGCAUCUUUUGUUUCCCAGAAUGGGUUGCCUUCUGCAGAAUGAACCAUUUCCCAACAUUACUCCACAAGUAUUGGGAAAAUGUUCCUUGACAGGAUUAUUUGAAGAUCCACAUUGCCAGGUACUAUCUGCAUUAUGUUUAGAUGAGGCAUUGUUGUUUACGCCGUCAGCAAAAGAAUUGAAUACCGAACUGGGGGCAGACAUACGGAUUUUGUCUUCUGCUGCUGGCUCUAAGACGGAGGUGUUAACCCGCAUCCCCUUGUGCUCUUCACAUCUUUUCCUCCCUGCCAC
RNAcentral lists this long non-coding RNA (881 nucleotides) under Populus trichocarpa (black cottonwood). RNAcentral's name for it is "long non-coding RNA (PTRI_LNC001776)". Lineage: Eukaryota; Viridiplantae; Streptophyta; Magnoliopsida; Malpighiales; Salicaceae. The record is from RNAcentral.